This 468-nucleotide ribosomal RNA is filed under the name uncultured bacterium. RNAcentral's name for it is "partial 16S ribosomal RNA". It matches the Rfam family "Bacterial small subunit ribosomal RNA", at positions 28 to 507 of the family's 1533-position model. The record is from RNAcentral.
GACGAACGCUGGCGGCGUGCUUAACACAUGCAAGUCGAACGGAAAGGCCCUGCUUUUGUGGGGUGCUCGAGUGGCGAACGGGUGAGUAACACGUGAGUAACCUGCCCUUGACUUUGGGAUAACUUCAGGAAACUGGGGCUAUUACCGGAUAGGAGCUCCUGCUGCAUGGUGGGGGUUGGAAAGUUUCGGCGGUUGGGGUUGGACUCGCGGCUUAUCAGCUUGUUGGUGGGGUAGUGGCUUACCAAGGCUUUGACGGGUAGCCGGCCUGAGAGGGUGACCGGCCACAUUGGGACUGAGAUACGGCCCAGACUCCUACGGGAGGCAGCAGUGGGGAAUAUUGCACAAUGGGCGGAAGCCUGAUGCAGCAACGCCGCGUGCGGGAUGACGGCCUUCGGGUUGUAAACCGCUUUCGCCUGUGACGAAGCGUGAGUGACGGUAAUGGGUAAAGAAGCACCGGCUAACUACGUG